Molecule: ribosomal RNA, 497 nt
Filed under: uncultured bacterium
Lineage: Bacteria
Description: partial 16S ribosomal RNA
Rfam family: Bacterial small subunit ribosomal RNA
Source: RNAcentral
GAUGAACGCUGGCGGCGUGCCUAAUACAUGCAAGUCGAGCGAACAGACGAGGAGCUUGCUCCUCUGACGUUAGCGGCGGACGGGUGAGUAACACGUGGAUAACCUACCUAUAAGACUGGGAUAACUUCGGGAAACCGGAGCUAAUACCGGAUAAUAUAUUGAACAGCAUGGUUCAAUAUUGAAAGACGGUUUUGCUGUCACUUAUAGAUGGAUCCGCGCCGCAUUAGCUAGUUUGUAAGGUAACGGCCUACCAAGGCGGCUAUGGGUAGCCGACCUGAGAGGGUGAGCGCCCACAGUGGAACUUAGACUAGGUCCAGACACCUACGGGAGGAAGCGGAAGGGAAGCCGACGAAAAGGGCGAAAAGCUUACGGAGCAAAACCGGCUGAAUAAAGAAGGGAUUAUGAAGCUUAAACUCUGUUUAUAGGAGAGAACGAAUGUGUUAGUAAAUAAGAAGGUAGUGACGGUAUCUAAGCAAAAAGCCACGGCUAACUACGUG